UACGGGGGAGGCAGCAGUAGGGAAUCUUCGGCAAUGGGGGGCACCCUGACCGAGCACGCCGCGUGAGUGAAGAAGGUUUUCGGAUCGUAAAGCUCUGUUGUAAGUCAAGAACGGGUGUGAGAGUGGAAAGUUCACACUGUGACGGUAGCUUACCAGAAAGGGACGGCUAACUACGUGCCAGCAGCCGCGGUAAUACGUAGGUCCCGAGCGUUGUCCGGAUUUAUUGGGCGUAAAGCGAGCGCAGGCGGUUUGAUAAGUCUGAAGUUAAAGGCUGUGGCUCAACCAUAGUUCGCUUUGGAAACUGUCAAACUUGAGUGCAGAAGGGGAGAGUGGAAUUCCAUGUGUAGCGGUGAAAUGCGUAGAUAUAUGGAGGAACACCGGUGGCGAAAGCGGCUCUCUGGUCUGUAACUGACGCUGAGGCUCGAAAGCGUGGGGAGCGAACAGGAUUAGAUACCCUGGGUAGU
RNAcentral lists this ribosomal RNA (464 nucleotides) under Streptococcus thermophilus. Its description in RNAcentral is "bacterial SSU rRNA". It matches the Rfam family "Bacterial small subunit ribosomal RNA", at positions 340 to 794 of the family's 1533-position model. Lineage: Bacteria; Bacillati; Bacillota; Bacilli; Lactobacillales; Streptococcaceae. The record is from RNAcentral.